Molecule: long non-coding RNA, 447 nt
Filed under: Helianthus annuus (common sunflower)
Lineage: Eukaryota; Viridiplantae; Streptophyta; Magnoliopsida; Asterales; Asteraceae
Source: RNAcentral
CAAUGUUGAUUUGGGCGGCAAUAUACAUUUUAAGCUUUCUAUAUUUUCUCUCAAUCAAUCUCACACAAAACCCUAAAUCUCAACCGAUAGUAAAUCACGUGCUCAUCUGAUUUUGAGGAUGGCAAUGUGACGAGGAUGAUGACGACAAAUUACUUUCCAAUUUCUCUCUUCAAACCCUAAAUGCUUGAGCCGUUUUCCUCUGCAAUAUUCAAAUCGACGAUUUAGAGAUCUGAUUAUCCACGAUUCGAGAAUUAGGGUUUCUAGGUGACGGGGCGAUGGCAGCGAUAUGAGGGAUGGUAGUGUUUAUAGUUUCAAUAAAGGUUUGUAGGGGCGGUUGUUGGUGGCGGCAAUGAUGGGUAUUGUAGGCUAGGGUUAACGGCGCGAGCCUAACUCUUGUGACUCACUACCAUUCGAACCUUUGGUGGUUGACAACAAUGAGUAUUCUGG